This 458-nucleotide ribosomal RNA is filed under the name uncultured bacterium. Its description in RNAcentral is "bacterial SSU rRNA". It matches the Rfam family "Bacterial small subunit ribosomal RNA", at positions 30 to 475 of the family's 1533-position model. The record is from RNAcentral.
AUUGAACGCUAGCGGGAUGCCUUACACAUGCAAGUCGAACGGCAGCGGGAAGAAAGCUUGCUUUCUUUGCCGGCGAGUGGCGAACGGGUGAGUAAUGUAUCGGAACGUGCCCAGUAGCGGGGGAUAACUGGCCGAAAGGUCAGCUAAUACCGCAUACGCCCUACGGGGGAAAGGGGGGGAUUCUUCGGAACCUCUCACUAUUGGAGCGGCCGAUAUCGGAUUAGCUAGUUGGUGGGGUAAUGGCCUACCAAGGCGACGAUCCGUAGCUGGUUUGAGAGGACGACCAGCCACACUGGGACUGAGACACGGCCCAGACUCCUACGGGAGGCAGCAGUGGGGAAUUUUGGACAAUGGGGGAAACCCUGAUCCAGCCAUGCCGCGUGUGUGAAGAAGGCCUUCGGGUUGUAAAGCACUUUCAGUGGUGAGGAAGGCCUGUUGGUUAAUAUCCAACAGGAUUG